This 1470-nucleotide ribosomal RNA is filed under the name Lacticaseibacillus paracasei. RNAcentral describes it as "bacterial SSU rRNA". It matches the Rfam family "Bacterial small subunit ribosomal RNA". Lineage: Bacteria; Bacillati; Bacillota; Bacilli; Lactobacillales; Lactobacillaceae. The record is from RNAcentral.
GCAUGGCGGCAUGCUAUACAUGCAGUCGAACGAGUUCUCGUUGAUGAUCGGUGCUUGCACCGAGAUUCAACAUGGAACGAGUGGCGGACGGGUGAGUAACACGUGGGUAACCUGCCCUUAAGUGGGGGAUAACAUUUGGAAACAGAUGCUAAUACCGCAUAGAUCCAAGAACCGCAUGGUUCUUGGCUGAAAGAUGGCGUAAGCUAUCGCUUUUGGAUGGACCCGCGGCGUAUUAGCUAGUUGGUGAGGUAAUGGCUCACCAAGGCGAUGAUACGUAGCCGAACUGAGAGGUUGAUCGGCCACAUUGGGACUGAGACACGGCCCAAACUCCUACGGGAGGCAGCAGUAGGGAAUCUUCCACAAUGGACGCAAGUCUGAUGGAGCAACGCCGCGUGAGUGAAGAAGGCUUUCGGGUCGUAAAACUCUGUUGUUGGAGAAGAAUGGUCGGCAGAGUAACUGUUGUCGGCGUGACGGUAUCCAACCAGAAAGCCACGGCUAACUACGUGCCAGCAGCCGCGGUAAUACGUAGGUGGCAAGCGUUAUCCGGAUUUAUUGGGCGUAAAGCGAGCGCAGGCGGUUUUUUAAGUCUGAUGUGAAAGCCCUCGGCUUAACCGAGGAAGCGCAUCGGAAACUGGGAAACUUGAGUGCAGAAGAGGACAGUGGAACUCCAUGUGUAGCGGUGAAAUGCGUAGAUAUAUGGAAGAACACCAGUGGCGAAGGCGGCUGUCUGGUCUGUAACUGACGCUGAGGCUCGAAAGCAUGGGUAGCGAACAGGAUUAGAUACCCUGGUAGUCCAUGCCGUAAACGAUGAAUGCUAGGUGUUGGAGGGUUUCCGCCCUUCAGUGCCGCAGCUAACGCAUUAAGCAUUCCGCCUGGGGAGUACGACCGCAAGGUUGAAACUCAAAGGAAUUGACGGGGGCCCGCACAAGCGGUGGAGCAUGUGGUUUAAUUCGAAGCAACGCGAAGAACCUUACCAGGUCUUGACAUCUUUUGAUCACCUGAGAGAUCAGGUUUCCCCUUCGGGGGCAAAAUGACAGGUGGUGCAUGGUUGUCGUCAGCUCGUGUCGUGAGAUGUUGGGUUAAGUCCCGCAACGAGCGCAACCCUUAUGACUAGUUGCCAGCAUUUAGUUGGGCACUCUAGUAAGACUGCCGGUGACAAACCGGAGGAAGGUGGGGAUGACGUCAAAUCAUCAUGCCCCUUAUGACCUGGGCUACACACGUGCUACAAUGGAUGGUACAACGAGUUGCGAGACCGCGAGGUCAAGCUAAUCUCUUAAAGCCAUUCUCAGUUCGGACUGUAGGCUGCAACUCGCCUACACGAAGUCGGAAUCGCUAGUAAUCGCGGAUCAGCACGCCGCGGUGAAUACGUUCCCGGGCCUUGUACACACCGCCCGUCACACCAUGAGAGUUUGUAACACCCGAAGCCGGUGGCGUAACCCUUUUAGGGAGCGAGCCGUCUAAGGUGAACAA